UGCUCCAGGAGGGGUUUGAACCCACGACCGUCGCGUU
This 37-nucleotide transfer RNA is filed under the name Debaryomyces hansenii var. hansenii. RNAcentral describes it as "partial transfer RNA". The record is from RNAcentral. Lineage: Eukaryota; Fungi; Ascomycota; Pichiomycetes; Serinales; Debaryomycetaceae.